GCAUAAAAGAGUGAAAAUGAGCGGUUUGGGAUCGAUUGCGGGUCGGGUUUUUGAUUUGAAACUGGUUCGGGUUUAACUAGUUGUCAAUCUGGGUAUGGAAGAUGGGUUGUUGAUAGUUUGCAAGUAUGGUUGUUGGUGGAUGCAGGUCGAGUUUGAAUCUUUAGGGUUGUUGAGAUCGUUGAUGUGUUAGUGUUGAUCGAUGUUGAAAUUGUUGGAAUUGUAUGCUUUAAGUUGUUGUACUAGUUUGCUGAAGAAAAUAGAAGAGAUAGGUGGGCUGGGUCGGUGACUUUGGAUUGGACUAAUAUAUAGUUGGGCCGAAAUUGGCUGGGUACAAUUUUUUGGGCUGGUUCCCAUUUUAAUUAAAAGGGGUUGUUGAAACUAAAGGAGAAAUGAGUAAAUUAGGCUAUUUUGGUUAUUUAUUAAAUAGCAAUAACUAGCCAAAAGGAAAGUUUAGACAAUUGUAUUUAAAAUUUAGCCUAUUUAAAAUUCAAUUGAUCAAUUGCAUUGCAAUUACGGUCGAAUUAAUUUCAAUUAAGGUCUAAAUUUAAUAAAUUGACUCAAUUAAAUCAAAAUUUGAUAUGAAUUAACACCUUGUUUAAUCCCGAGCUUCUUAAUUUAAUAAAAUCAAAUGCAUAUUUAUCUAAAUAAAUUAUUUUGAUAAUAAAUUAUAUUACAAUCAAGAUUUUAAUCAUUAUAUUUAUUUUCAAAAUAAUCCUUGAUUAAAAUUCAAUAUUCCAUAGAAUAAAUAUUUAAAUAAUCAAAUUAUAUAAUCUCGUAUAACUGAACACGAUAUUAUAUAAUCGCUGCUUAAAAUGAUCAAAUUACGUACAAAAAAUAUUUUGAAAUUUUUUUUAUUCGGAUGAAAUAAAUAUUUCAAUUUUAUUAAAAAUCGAAGAAACUCUGCUCUAAAGAGGGCUAUUUAUAGAAAAAUGAAAGAAUCCCAUCCCCUUGGAGCUCACCGAUGUGGGAAAAAUUCAAAUAGGGGUAAUUUCGAGAUUUUAAAAUAGAGAUCUUCUGAAAUUUGAAAUUGGAAUCCUUCUACAACUUGUAUUUUUCAUCCACAACCAGUGCAAAUUUUAGAUUUUUUUCAUGAAAUCCAAAUUGGCCAACAAAUAGAAGUUAAGGGAUGUAAUUUUCCUCACGAACUAAUGAAAAUCGGGCAAGUAUGUACGAUUUCGUACCAUUCAACCUGAAAUUCUCGGCAUCUAGCCGUUAGGGGUGACACCUAGGCACUUCUAGAAAAUUCUUGAACUUUCCUCAUACCCAAUAUCGUGUGACGCAUAAAAGAGUGAAAAUGAGCGGUUUGGGAUCGAUUGCGGGUCGGGUUUUUGAUUUGAAACUGGUUCGGGUUUAACUAGUUGUCAAUCUGGGUAUGGAAGAUGGGUUGUUGAUAGUUUGCAAGUAUGGUUGUUGGUGGAUGCAGGUCGAGUUUGAAUCUUUAGGGUUGUUGAGAUCGUUGAUGUGUUAGUGUUGAUCGAUGUUGAAAUUGUUGGAAUUGUAUGCUUUAAGUUGUUGUACUAGUUUGCUGAAGAAAAUAGAAG
Molecule: long non-coding RNA, 1541 nt
Filed under: Capsicum annuum
Lineage: Eukaryota; Viridiplantae; Streptophyta; Magnoliopsida; Solanales; Solanaceae
Description: long non-coding RNA (CANN_LNC001231)
Source: RNAcentral